GAAAACCUUGAAUCAGAAUUUGGUGGAAAGUUACAUAUAGCAAUGGAUGAUAAUUAGUUCACAAAUUAUGAUGCAUUCAUUGAAAAUGAAUGGAAUCAAAGU
Molecule: long non-coding RNA, 102 nt
Organism: Populus euphratica (Euphrates poplar)
Lineage: Eukaryota; Viridiplantae; Streptophyta; Magnoliopsida; Malpighiales; Salicaceae
Exons: 3
Source: RefSeq, a predicted model, not a curated record